This 77-nucleotide transfer RNA is filed under the name Clostridia bacterium. RNAcentral describes it as "tRNA-Val". It matches the Rfam family "tRNA". Rfam says of the family: Transfer RNA (tRNA) molecules are approximately 80 nucleotides in length. Their secondary structure includes four short double-helical elements and three loops (D, anti-codon, and T loops). Further hydrogen bonds mediate the characteristic L-shaped molecular structure. tRNAs have two regions of fundamental functional importance: the anti-codon, which is responsible for specific mRNA codon recognition, and the 3' end, to which the tRNAs corresponding amino acid is attached (by aminoacyl-tRNA synthetases). tRNAs cope with the degeneracy of the genetic code in two manners: having more than one tRNA (with a specific anti-codon) for a particular amino acid; and 'wobble' base-pairing, i.e. permitting non-standard base-pairing at the 3rd anti-codon position. RNAcentral also lists the same sequence under 2 other names. The record is from RNAcentral. Lineage: Bacteria; Bacillati; Bacillota; Clostridia.
GGUUGUUUAGCUCAGCUGGUUAGAGCGCUCGCCUCACAUGCGAGAGGUCAACGGUUCGAGUCCGUUAACGACCACCA